CAAGUCGGACGGGAUAGAAGAGCUUGCUUUUCUUGAGAGUGGCGCACGGGUGCGUAACACGUAUGUAACCCACCUUGAUCAGGGGGAUAGCCUCUCGAAAGAGAGAUUAAGACCGCAUAACAUUAAGUUGUGGCAUCGCAAUUUAAUCAAAUAUUUAUAGGAUCAAGAUGGGCAUGCGGAACAUUAGCUAGUUGGUAAGGUAACGGCUUACCAAGGCUACGAUGUUUAGGGGAUCUGAGAGGAUGACCCCCCACACUGGUACUGAGACACGGACCAGACUCCUACGGGAGGCAGCAGUAAGGAAUAUUGGUCAAUGGACGGAAGUCUGAACCAGCCAUGCCGCGUGCAGGAAGACGGCCCUACGGGUUGUAAACUGCUUUUGUACGGGAAUAAACCUACCUAUGUAUAGGUAGCUGAAUGUACUGUAAGAAUAAGGAUCGGCUAACUCCGUGCCAGCAGCCGCGGU
This 466-nucleotide ribosomal RNA is filed under the name uncultured bacterium. Its description in RNAcentral is "bacterial SSU rRNA". It matches the Rfam family "Bacterial small subunit ribosomal RNA", at positions 58 to 521 of the family's 1533-position model. The record is from RNAcentral.